CCUACGGGAGGCUGCAGUGAGGAAUAUUGGUCAAUGGACGAGAGUCUGAACCAGCCAAGUAGCGUGAAGGAUGACUGCCCUAUGGGUUGUAAACUUCUUUUAUCUGGGAAUAAAAUGUUCCACGUGUGGGAUUUUGUAUGUACCAUAUGAAUAAGGAUCGGCUAACUCCGUGCCAGCCGCCGCGGUAAUACGGAGGAUACGAGGGUUGUCCGGAUUUAUUGGGUUUAAGGGGAGCGUAGGUGGAUUGUUAAGUCAGUUGUGAAAGUUUGCGGCUCAACCGUAAAAUUGCAUUUGACACGGGCAGUCUUGAGUACAGUAGAGGUAGGCGGAAUUCGUGGUGUAGCGGUGAAAUGCUUAGAUAUCACGAAGAACUCCGAUUGCGAAGGCAGUUCACUGGACUGCAACUGACACUGAGGCUCGAAAGUGUGGGUAUCAAACAGGAUUAGAUACCCGGGUAGUC
RNAcentral lists this ribosomal RNA (460 nucleotides) under uncultured bacterium. RNAcentral describes it as "partial 16S ribosomal RNA". It matches the Rfam family "Bacterial small subunit ribosomal RNA", at positions 338 to 795 of the family's 1533-position model. The record is from RNAcentral.